RNAcentral lists this long non-coding RNA (1502 nucleotides) under Anser brachyrhynchus (Pink-footed goose). Its description in RNAcentral is "lncRNA (ENSABRG00000004390.1)". Lineage: Eukaryota; Metazoa; Chordata; Aves; Anseriformes; Anatidae. The record is from RNAcentral.
AAAACUCAUUGCUCUCUCUUAGCAAGACAGCCUUAGGUCAGCAAAAGUAAAUGCAGGGAGGUGAAUUUGUGAAAGGUUUUCUUUCCAGUUGUAGAUAAAGAGUUAUGUUAAUAGACAGCCAGCUAUAGUAGUACCUGAAAAAUUUUGAGAUAACCCACAGCACACUUUAUACUCUGAAACGUAUUAACUUCUGAACACGGCUCAAGGAGGUUCUCAGCUCUCAAUAUCCCCAUACUGCCCAUGAAAAGUAAAUGGCAGCACUCACCCAGAAAGCUGAACACCUGUGGGGCACAGCCCCACUUAUGCAUGGGGGCUAUAACAGGCUGCAUCUGGCCUUGCUUGACUGGUUACUGGAGGGGGAGGCAUAGGGUAGCUCUGAGCCUUGACCAGAAAACAGCUGAUUUGGAGGCUUUGCUUGUGCUGCUUUGGCUUGGAAAUAGGAGGGGUUUACUGGAAGUGAGUGAAGGAAGUGCAUUCAUCAUGAAUGUCAACAGGCAAGUGUGAAUCAUCAAAAGCCGGAUGGUUCAUUCCCCAGAACAGGAAUAUCCAGAAGUGAAUGCUAUUACAUUAUCUAAUGGCAGCCAGCCAGUCAAGAAAAACUAUUGUAAAAUGUUCUGUGAUGACAGUAAGUGUAGCAGUGGAAUGGAAGCGUAGGCUUAGUUUUUGGUAAGAGAUUGUCUUGGCUAGGGUAGGAAUAGCGAGUAUGACAUCAGUUCCUGCUUUUUGGUGCCACUUUGUAUAACUGUUACACGGUGUUUCAGAUUAGGUGGACUGAUUGAAUUCCUGUGAUGGAAGGCUUAUUUUCUGGUGUUGGUAAAUGGAUCUUGGUUGACAUUUUUGUUAUUUAAUUUUAGUUGUGAAGAAUGCCAGAGUAACAGUGAGGGGGGAAAAAAUGUUUGUAAGUGCAGGCAGUGGUAGGCAAAAUGUCUAGAUAUUGUCUUUUGUGUUUUAUCUCUCUGCUCUAGAAGCUGCUUUAGAGCUUGAAAGAUAGUGCAGUCUCCAUAAUCAUUGCUAAUCCAAGAAUACAAUAUGCAGAAAAAUGUUAUUUAUGCCAUGAAAUUUUUCCAAAGAUUAAAAUGUCUUAUGUGCCAGUGCGGCAAUUUUCCCUCGAGGUUCAGUCAGGACUGAAUUUAAAUGGCUUUGAGUCCAGCUAAUUGCAGGCCAGUUAGCUUCAACCACACUGAACCUGGAAAAUUGCCUCUUUCAGGAAGUGGCCAGAUUCAUGCCUAGAAAACCCUACUUGUAUUCUGAUCCAGGGGGUGGGUAUAAAUCUUUAGUAUUCUCAUUAAUCUUUUAAGCUGGUGAACAUAAACAUCUGGAAGCUUGCACUUUCAGAGUUCUGUAACAACAUCUCCAACUGGUUAUUUCACUUCUUUUGUUUAUAAUAUUGCCCUUUUCACUCCCUAUGUAUUAUUCAUAUAUACCUUAAAUUUAAUCACCAACCCACUAAAGUUAAAAUCACACUACACCUGAAAUAUAAACACCAUCACACUGGAGCUGAG